CGCAGGCACCGCUGCCAACCGUCAACUGUCCGUUAAGCAAUAAAAAAAAGAGGAGAAGCUGAAAAUAACAACACGGAAGAUACACCAUUAGCCGGAAUAACCGAAUCCGCAGCAAGAGAGGAAGUCGACACCGCUGUUCUUUUUCUCCACGCCCCUACCCCUCUUCCCCUCAGGGCCGCUGACGUCACUGCCUCCCUCGCAACUCUCCAAGCGCAUCGUCGAGACGCACGAGGGAACAGUCGUGGGGACAGAGAAAAAACAAGCGAACGAGCGAAAGAAGGCGAAGCGAAGCGAAAAAAGAAACGCAAGAGAUAUUAACAGAAACAAAAACAGACAGACACACGUAUCACAGCGUCGCUGCGACACACGUGCAGCACAGUCGCCAACGUGGCCCUCUUUCGCACCCCCGUGGGACGCUGUGGCUAGCUGGAGUGUGCUUGUGUGUGUGUGUGUGAAGCUAUCCAGAGAGGCGCGCGAUUCUGUUUUACGCACCCGAACAGAGCCCCUGAACAAAAAAACAGACAGAAAGAACAGAGGCACGCUAACGUGUACGUAUUCAGAAGGCCAGCAUCCUAGCCCCCUCCACUUCCGCUUCACCCAUUUUUCCUUGAGUCGAUCCGCACUUGCUUCUUUCUUUGCUUUUAGCUGUUGGGCGCGUGUCUUUGUACGCACCUUCUGCGCAUCUCUCUCUGCUUUUUUUUAUUCACAUUUUCUCGAUUUCCUUUUUUGUUGGCCCUGAAUCUCUCAGUCACAAAACGUGAUUGACCCCCCGACCUACCCCUUCCCCCUCCUCUUCCUUCGUGCGCACACAGUCACACGCACCUACACACGCAGAGCUCGCAAAAAGGAAAGAGAACAGCGUCGGGACGCGGUAGUGGUGACUGUAGAAGUAUAAUCAUCGGCAGCAUUAAGCGCAGCGCGUACUUGACAAGCCACCCGGCGAUUUGCAAGUCGCGCACGCGCUCUAUCGGACUGCACUUUCUUGCGCGCUUUCACUAUCACCCUUGCUCGCGUUGUUUACGGUGAAAAAGAGUGGUGAGACGCAUUCUUUUCCUUUCUUCUCGCACACGGCAGGGUUGUCAAGCAAAACACCCGCACACUCCACCGAAGGCACAAACGCGCACACCUGCAUUUGCCAUUGCCGGUGCUUCGCGUUGUGCUGUGCCUGCUGCAGCGGACGUGAUUUGUACGUCUUGUAUACGAGAUCAUUUGGAAUCUUGUCUACCUCUUACUCGCACUGCCCGACUCUGCGUGCCCGACUCUCAUCCACCUACUGCUGCUGGAGUGCCUUCGUGCGACGACACACGUACAACUGCCGCCCUCCCUCUGUGCUCUCUAUCUCGCCCACAGCUGCAUCUGGCCGCCUAAUUCUGUUCGCCCUUUUCUUUUUUUUUUCGUUUUGGUCUUUCUGCUACACCCCUCCCCUCCCUCCUUUUUUCAUUCUUCUCUCUUGACUCUUUCUCCCCCUCUCCCCUCGCAUUUUCCAUCUCUUCUUCUUGCGCUGCUCGCUCUCGCUUUUUUUUUCUCGGUCGAGUUAUACCUGACCAGCACCCCCGUCUCUCUCUAACUCGCCAACUUGUCUUUGUCUUGGCCUGCACCAGACUGGUUUCGGACGCCGGCAGAACGCACGAAGGAGGCAGCAGAGGAAGUGCAGACGCAGUUUCGAGUAGCGAGUAGGGGACUGAGUGACGACAUCUGGGCAGAGACAAAGACACCGCCGCUCCGGCAAGAGGGUCAGCAGACGAAAAGAACAAGCGACGGGUAGGCAAAACCGAAGAAGAUACCAGAGUGCAACAGGUAAACACGCCUUCUCAGUUCUCGUUGGAAGCAGGAAGUACGGGCACAAAACUCAGGGUACGUAAGCACGAUCAUACACGCACAAACGCCGACAGAUAGAAGGUAACUUGUGCGGAAGUGUGCGUAGUGUGCGUUUUCUCCUCUUAAAAACUCAGUUCGCUCUGCUGCGAGGACGCAGACACCCUCGGUCUGCCUCCAUCGUUCGCCUGCACUCGCUCUUGACGUGUGUUUUGUGAGUGCGGGCGGCUUUGUGUCGUUGUGUGCAUGUGCGCGCGCGCGUGUGCGGUUCACCUUUCUCGCAACGUCAUUUUUUUUUUUGCUUCUUGCGCCCCCUUCGUCAUUCGCUGAUUCCAGACCUCCGCGCUGGGGGAAUCGAUACGUUACACCUUUCUUCUGUGCACUGUGCAUUGCUGGCCAUACGCACAGCGGCAGGACGGGAGAAAAAACCGAAUUAAGCAAACGUGGACACGUCCUCUGGCAGACUUUGCAGGAUUUCGAUAAGCGAUACAUACACACGCCACAUCUCCAGCCACUCAGGGAAAGUGACGGAAAUACGUCGACUACAACGAAGCAGCGUGGAAGUUGAAAAAAAAAAGAUAAUCCUGCGAGAGAGGGAGAGGGGAGAGCGUCACCGUUCUCGAGCUUACACAACCAGAGAGCCCUCCGUUUUUCAAGAGGAUACAGAGCCUCUCUUGCCAUUAUCACCAACACUACCAGAGAAGACUUCUAUCUUUCACAGAGGCGUUUUUUGUUGUGAUUUAACAUUUAUUUUUUCAUUGAUCUGCCAUUUCUGUUUUCACGUCUGCGCGCGUGCGUUCUCUCUCUCUCUCUCUCUGCACUUCUUUGUGUGCUUACUCCACACAGACUGACGCGCACCACGCAAGCCCAUACGCACACACCGUAAACCUGCCAGAACCGAAGUGAAGUGGAUUUCUCACAGAGAACGCACUUGGAACCUAUCCUCUUUCUUUACUUGUGUAUCCUUAGAAGGACAGACGCGCUCAGCAAAACCACUUCACUAACUACACGACCCCUCUCCCCUUCUCAGCGUUAUAUCUCUAUAGAUAUUCUGCACCACCCCUUUCCCUGCCUCAUCUUCAUCCCAACGUCGCGCUUGUCGAUCUUUUCAGGCGAUACGAUAGGAGCCGUCUAAUACCCCUUCCCCUUCCUUCCCCUCAAGUGCGCCUUCUUUUUAUUUCUGUAUUUGUGUCUGUGCGCACCUCAUCCUACCGCUAACGGAAACAAAAGAAGCCCAUAAAUCGAAUCACCCUCACCGAAACUUGUGCCUGCAUCACCUCGACCGAUCUCUCUCCUCGAGGUACACAGGCCUUUGUCGUGGCACACCUAAACACAUCCGGCGACGCCUUCAUUCACCACCUCCCUCAGCUCCGACGUCUGCUCCCUCCUCCCCUGGGUGUCGCGCCGUUAUUAUAUAUAUUUUCCUUUAUAUUUCUUCCUUCUCCGUCUUUGUGCGCCGCGCGCCAGCGCUGCCACACCAUUUGCGUGUUUGCGGUCGCCUCUGCGUGCGCACUGGGUUUCUCACGCGUCGAGCAGCGCUCCGUUUGCACGCUCUGACGCACAUCGUCGCAGCUCGAGCGAAGACACGGUUAUCCAACGCAAAGAGCAGCGCGAGCAGGUCUUACGUCUCCCUUUCCCUCUGAAGCGUUGCAUUCUUGAAAAAGUAAAACAGGGUCCCCCCUCCAUUGCGUACCCCCUCUUUUAUGAUUAUUAUUAUUAAUCGUUGCGCAUCAGCUUGCCGAGCGCGUGCUGGAUUUUCUUCUUGGGUGCGAACAGUCGAAAGAAGCCAAAAAGAAGUUGGCGCUUACCUUUUCGCACGCAUUUGGGUGCGUCUGUCUGCUUGUCGGUCGGCCGGUCUGCGCGUGUGUGUGCCUCUGUUCCGCACCUGGUAAAAAAAGAAAAAAAUACGUCAUCUCUGUCUCCGCACUUUUUUUCCGUUGUGCGUCUCUUCCUGUUUUUCUUUUCUCACUUUUCCUUUCGGCUUGGAGAACUGAAAAAGGGGAGGAGGGAAGAGGUUGCUGAUUUCAUAGGCAAGCACACUCGGCCACUAUCACUGCCGCCGCUUUAAUCUUUUUUUUUUGUUGUUCUGCCUUCCUGCUUUCCAGUGUCCGUGAAGGGAAGACAGGCCCGUUCAGCGCUCGGCUGUUGCCAUCUCGAUCGCUUUUGAAUUUUCGCUUGUGCUCUCUCUGUUGCCGAGCGUCACAGCUCUCUCUCUUUCUGCGCGCGCGUCUGCGGACGGAGGUGCGUGCUUGCGUGCCGGUGCGGGUUCCUCAUCUAAAGCAAAUCGGGUGCCCCUGUUACUUCCGUGUGCUUUCCCGCCGUGUGUGCGUGCACGCGCUGGCGACUGCCUUCGCUUGAACGUGACGAAGAGGCCUUCCCAUCCAGCGUACUUUCUCUGUCUCACUUGCUGUCGCGUGAAAGUGUGUACAUCUGUGUCUCCGUGUAUGCGCAUCGGUGCCCUCUACCCCCCUUUUCCCCUAUAGCUUCUACGCUUUCACAGCAGCGCGUAAGCGACAAGGAAACAAAAAAGAAAGCGGCCACGCCUUCGUGCCUGUGCUCAUCAGCGGCCUCUUUUCGCUUGUCCACAACCGCCUGUGUCCCCUUCGUUUUUCGUUUUCGUGCUCUUCCCUAGUGUCCCAAUACGCUUGUAUUGGUUGUGUAUAUUGUUUUGUGCAUUAUUCGUUUUUUUUUCCUUCUUUGCCCCCUUCCCCUCCCCGUUCCUCUCUUAGAUCUUCACACACGCAAACUCCGCUGUCACCGUCGCCUCUCGCUCUGCAUUCCCUUUUUCUUUUUGUGACCGCUUCUCCGUUUUCUUUUCUAUUUCUAGCGUUCGUUACUUCGAACAGGCGCGCCCGGGGCUCCGUGUGCUUCUCGACCCUUUUCCUUGUUGACGGCGGAAAUCGCUGCCUUUCUCCCUCUCUCUUGUCCGCCUUUGCAAGGGUGUUUAUUCUCGCUUAACAGAUCGCGGUGUGUCUGACCAUUUCGUAGGAGCGGGCUUGCGCGCAGCACAGAACGCGCUUUUCCUCCCUCUCUCUUUUUGCCACCCACAUCUGAGCGUCAUUUCUCGCUACGCGGCCGCACACGGAGCCCACUUGCGAACGCCGCAAGGCCUUGCACUGAUGUCCGCUGGCGCAUCCAGCCCGGGCACCUACGCCUACCCCUUUGUUCACAUGGGCAAUGACGCAGCAGGAAGCCAAGCAAGGAUCAUGAGUGGUAGCGCCGGCGCCGCUGACGCCAUGUCCGCGGCAGAAAACGGCGUUGCUAUAUCUGGUGUACAGCAGGGCUACUGCCAUAACUUCCGGCCUUUUGUGGUGAGUUACGGGCAGCCGUACAACGGCGGUGCUGGUGGCAUGAUCCAGAGCGGCGCUACCGCCUGCGGCAGCAGUUACCCUUCGUCUUUCAACUCUUUCGAGCUGCCAACAAUCACGCCGCCGCUGCUACCUCAGCCCGACUUCUACGUCGCCGCAGCCGCGGCCCAAGCGAACGACUUCUACUACCACUCUUCUCAGCCUCGCUACGCCGAUUCGCCGCUGACCUCGGCAGAGCUGUGCGGUGCCGGCACCCGCAGUGCCAGCCCCGUGAUGGGGUACGGGGCGACACCUUCCAUCGCCGGCAUAAACGGGUAUGGGUACACGGACCAAGCUGCCGGCUCCGUCUUCAGCAGCUGCAGCUUCAGCGGUUCCCGCUUUCCUCAAUGGUAUCUACCUCGCGGGUAUUACUCCAUUUCUUGCUCCAACGUCGUUGGCGGUAGCUGCGGCAGUGGCUAUGGGUUGUACGCUGACUGCGCGAGCAGCGGCAUUACGCCCACCUCAGUCUCGAUGGGGCAGAACUCUGCGGAGGAGGAGAUGCUCAGCAGCUCACAUGGGCGGUCGCAUUACGUCAUGAUGCCGCCGCCUCCGCCACGACUCUCGCCCCAGUCGAGCUCUGGCACGCUGGUCCCGUUUGCGCUGCCUCCGUCGUAUGCGGCCACAGCCGCCGGAAAUGAUGCGCAUGCGAUCGGCGUGCCGCCCACAUAUCCGUCUGGCGUGAUGGAGUUGUCGUCGUCGGCCUCCUUGUCAACCAGCUCGCCCGUGUCUAGGGCGGCGCGAGCCCCGCAGUUCCUGUCGUACGACGGCCGCGCCUACGACAUUCCACCAUGCAAGGCACAUAUCAGCAGCGCCGACGCCGCGGCUGCUGUGACGCAGUGCUCACUCGUGGCUUGCGCCCAGCAUGGAGGCUACAGCCCGGUGGACGCCUCCCAGCCCAUUCGCAUGUCGACUCAGAAGUCGGGCACGCCGCAUGACAUGCAUGCAUAUCCUCGCGCGACGUCUCCACUUACUCAGCGCCCCUUGCCGCACAGCCAUCGGAGGAGCACCGGCGCUGCGUCAGAGCCGGCAGAGAGGUCCUGCUCGCCAGAGGAGAGCGCGCUGCUGGCCGACGUGCACGCGCGGCUGAUGCAGCAGCACCGCUCCUCUCAGCUGCUCAAGGAGCGCUCCGCGGCGCAGAGGGCCGGUGUUAAGCCGCUGUCGCGCUCCGACCUCGCCGCUCCUGCAAAAGGUCCAGCCUCGGGGAAAAAAGUCGUCGCCAACGGCUCUAGCCACGAAGCUGCUUCUACCAGUAGUAUGGCCGCCGAGGAGGCGGCUGUGGCGGCGCUGUCACCCAUUCCACGGCUUCCCGCCGCAGGCGCUGUCGACGCCGAGGCAUCUGACCAGUCGCUGUGGGGAGGCGACGAGGCGGCCGCGCAGGCCCCUACUCAGGAUGCUCUGGAUCGGUUGUUGACGGUGCCGGGUGUCGUAUGGCGGCAUGAUCCGUAUAGCCGCAUCGUUCUGCCGCAGACCCAGGCCACCGUCGAGAGCGACGGCAGCGAGGCGACCAGCACAUCGUGCUCCUCGCUGCCCGCCGGCAGCCCCUACGUCGCACGCGCCACCCUCGGUUUCUCUGACCGCGGCGACGCCAGGGCCAACGUCACGCAGCCGCCUCGCUCGCCAGACAUCGCAGCGGGUGCGAACGGCAGCAGCAGCAACAGCGCCGACGGGGUGCGACCCAGCCCCCGUCGCCUGCCGACAAAGAAGGUAUGUGUGCGUCAUUACGUGAACGGUGACGGCGACUUGUCGCUCAGCCACGAGCACAGCGGAGUUGUCGGCGCACUUCUGAGUGUGAGGGAGGCAGCGCCCACCGCGACCGUCCCCGUUGCUCUCUUUGCGAGUGGUGCCUCCGCACCGCUCCGUCACUCGGCCUUUAUGGACGAUGAUGACGACGGUGCCGCCCCAGCGGCCCCGCCGGAGACAGAACCGAUAACUGUGCUCACGGUCACGGCCUCGGCGCCUGCGGAGCGUGGCAAGCCGUCGGUGCCGAAGCCGCGCUCGAAGCAGGUGGGCCUUCCUGCGUCGGCCAGAGGCGCAAAGGCGGGCGCCACCAAAGAAGACCCUGUCGUGUCCACCGAUUCUUCGUCCUGCGUCUCGUGUGCGUCUGGGCACCUUAAAGCGUCGCACGUGGCGUCGCCAUCGACACUCGAUGCCGUAGUCCUGGCUGAAGCACCUGGUAAGGAGGACCUCUCGCCGGCCUCAGGCGUAGUCGGCGCCUCCGCUGAUCCGGCUGCUGCGGCAGGGGUGUGGCCUGCGGUACGUCGUCCAGGCCCGUACUCUUCGCCCUUGGGCUUCAGCGCGGCCCGCUCCGCGUACCAGUCGGCGUCGAGGUGGGGGUGGCGGCCGCGCAGCGCGCGCGUGUACGCCCUGGCGCAGCCGGCGGAGAUGGCCUCGACGAAAGAGGAACUGCUUGCUGCCGACCUGGCCGACCUUGACACAAGCUACCUUCUUGGCCUGUGGCAGAAGCUGGACUCUAGCGGCUGCUUCCGUGAUGCACUGGAGCUCCGGCGGUGCGUGAUCGGGCCUGGUAGCAACAGCUCCACCCGCGUACUGCGCCGCAUGCUACCCCUCUCCCGCCGCCUGAUGAACCGCCGGCGCGGUCUGGAGGUUGAGAGCGGCGACGGGCCGCGCUUUACCGUGUUGGACGAGUCGGAGAUGAAGUACGUGUGCUUGCUGCAGCACCGCUUCCGCAAGAGUACCGCCGUCGCGUCAGAGCACUACGCCCCUGGUACGAUGGUGGUCGUGGAUGGAGACAUGGGUGUCGACACCGGCAUCGUCACGCUCUCCAUGACGCGCGACGAGUACGAGGCCAUGACAGAUGUGCAGCGACGUGCCGCUCACCUCGUCGUACACCUGGAAUUUUCGCUCGCCGCCUCCAUCCACCGCGCCGCUCUGGCCGACGAGAUCCUGAUGCAUGGUAACACGCAGCUUCCCCUCGAGGAGGCGACACUGGAGUUCCUUCGGUACCUGACUACGCAGCCGCACCUGUUUCAGAGCUGCCGUGUGGAGUGGAUGCACUUUGUGGAUGUGGAGUUCCAGGCGGACGGGCAGAAGCUCUAUGUGCACUACACUUCCGAUACCCCGGUGCGUUUUCUCGAGCUGGCCACGUUCCUCAACCACAUCUUUCACUGUCGUAUCUGGAUGAAGGUUGUCAAGGAGGAGGACUGGUAAGUGCAUGGUUGUGUCUGUGGCAUGUAUGUCUCUCUCGCGCUUCCCUACCCCACGGAACUCCUUCCUUCCUUCCUUCCUCCUCUCGAUGUUUCUGUGGUUUAACCACGUGUCAGCUGCCCCUCUUUUUUUCUUAUUGGAGGGGGGAGCUGUAGUUUUUGACUUUCACCCCUACCCCACCCUGUUGCGACGUGCGAUUCAAGCGUGCACUCCCACGCAAACGCCGUCACGGUCGGUGCGCGUGGUCGACAUAGGUUUUCUGUUUUUUCUUUUCUGUGGUGGUUUUCAACUUGUUUUUGUCGUUACUGCUGUCGUUGAUUUCGUAACUCUGUUCGUUACCAUUAUUCUCCGUUUUUUCAAGCAAUCUUUUCUUUUUUUUUUUCGUCCUGGCGGGUGCCAGUUUCCGGACUCGCCAGCCCCGUCCCCAUUUUCCACAACAUGCCCUCGCCAUGCUGCCCGAGUGCCAGAAGCUGCACAACGUUCGCCUCCUCCCACGCGAGGCGCACUCGAUACAUCGGCGUGCUUGUGCUUUUCUUUCUUGGAGUGCCGUUGUGCGUGCGUCUGCUUGUGUGCACGUGCGCAUUACUUCCUUCCCUUUGGGUGGCCCGAUGCCUUUCCCGUUGUGUGCUGCGUUGCUAUUAUUACGGUUACCCGCCCGCCCCUUCCGACCCCCUUUCUCCAGUCCGUUUGCAGUGCUCCUCUCUUUCCUUAUUUGUUUUUCUCUUCGAGUUGCUUCAACCUCUGCCACUUCUCGUCCUGUCCAUGCACGUGCACAUGCGUCGGUGUCUCCCACCUCUCUCUCUGCGUGCGGGAUGUGCUCUUGGUGAGCAACAUCGCCAGCGUCAUCGACGUCGCUUUUCCUUUUCGCCCUCUUCUCUUUGUGUGUGUGCAUGCACAUAUCCACACACACACACGCAUGCGCUAUUUUUUUUUUCUUUUUCUUUGGGAGGCUCAAGGCGUAGAGGGAAGGAAACCGUGCUAAGGCGAAGCAAGAGAAGCAACAAGGCUUCACAAACUCUUUAUGGAUUCGACUCUCCCGCUCUUCUCUCUCGCUUUUUAGUUGAGCGCUGAGACAUGGUAUGUGCCUGCGCGUGUGCCCGUCUUUUUGGAUGCUUUCUUUCUGCGUCCCCCUUUCUUAUACAUGUAUAUAUGUGCUCUUGAUUGUUCAUGGAAGGUUGUGGAGAGGGCUGUAUCGCGCAGGAGAGAGAUACAAAAUUGUUUGCUACUUACAGGCUUCUUUGAGCUUGUGUUGGUUGCUGUACUGCGGAGCCGCACCCAUCGAGGAAGCAGCCCGUACUAAAUUGCGUACUGUGUGACUCUCACUCCUUCGAAGCCCACUUCUCUGCCCUGUGCCAGCAGAAUGGGGGCAUGCAACCUAUCAAACACUUUUCUCCCGUACUUGUGAUGCGGAAUGAUACAUCUACGCACAGACACAUACGCGUUCUCAACUGCAAGCGUUUCUUGCGUGUGUGCGUAGGCGAAUACGUCUAUGCCAGCGCGUGUCUACGUCAGGCACGCGCUUGGCGGCGUCGGAGGGAACAACACAUUCACUCUGGAAGGAAAACAAAAAAGUGGAGGAAGCCAUUACAAUCCCCCUCUCCCCACAUAAAGAAAAGGUAUCGCAGUGGAUGCUGCUGACAUCAUACUCUCGUGGCAGGUGAGCGACGGAGUGUGCUUGUGUGGCUUUCACGGCUCCGCAGGUAGUUUGGCUUGCUUCCUCCUCCUCUUAUAUAGUCAACGACGAUUUGCUUUACACCGUGCACGUGCGCCUACGGGUACGCAUAUGCUUGAUGUCGGUUAGCGGCUACUUUCUCUGUUUUUUUUUUUUUUUUCACCGUGAUACGUCUGUUGUUGAAUGAAGUCAUGCUUUGGUGGCGUCAUGCGGUCCUCUGACCACGGCUUGCGAGAGCAUUCACACAAAUGGACACACGAGCUAGUCGACUUGCCGCGUGCUCUGGUAUGCGUGCUUGUAUUCGCUCCUCCCGCGGGCGCCAUCGUCGCCGUCCCCCUCUCUCUUUCUUUCUUUGUAUGUCUCCAUCUCCUUUCGACCAGCACAGACACACGGCAAACUACCUACAGAAGGGGGCUCUAAUACGAGCACCGUCCAGAAAGCGUAGCACGAAAAGACGAGGAUGUAGCUCUCUCUCCCUCCCUCUCGAUCUCUUCGUAUGCGAGUGCUUCUUAAACCCCUCACCCUUUCCUGAUGUAACUCAUAUCGACCUGUUAGUGUGCAUGCGUGUGCGCUUGUGUGUCCUCUUUCCUCCCUUUCUCUGCCUGUCUUCUUCCUUUCGGGCUUGUCAAGCUGUUUGCUGCGUUUUGCUCUGCCUGUGUCUCAUGCAGGCGCUGCGCACAAGGACAGCGGUAGCGUUCAAGCGUGCCUCUUUUCGACGCCUGCGUGCUUGUGUGUGUGUGUGUGUGCAUGAUUUCCUUUGGAGAGCCGACACAAAUUACUGCUGGAGGGAGGCCUCUGCAGACUUCUAGUGAGUCUACACACUUUAUGUGUUCUCCACUUCCCCGAUGGCCAUCAGCUCUACCUCUUCUUCCUCUCUUUGUUUUCUUCGCGCACGCACCUUCCACCAGUGGGCGCCCCUAUCCCACUCCCCCUCGUAUUUUUCCUGUCUUUUUUUUUUUCAGUAUUAUGUGCUUCCUUUCUUUGCGCUAGUGCUGGAAAACACGCCAUCUUGAUUUAUUCCUGCAAACCUGCCGCCACCCGCCUCUCUCCUCACGCAGACAAAUAUUCGCAGACACACUCACGCACGCAAGCACGUAGCCGGAAGUACGACUGCUCACCGACGAAGAUAGAGUACAUAUGAGUCGAGAGAAUUCAAAGUGUGGGGCGGAGGCAACAGUGAGUCGCUCCUGCAUCCCUGGUGGCGCUGGUGCUUGCGAGGCGUGUCUUGUGGUGCGUGUGUGUGUGUGUGCACGUUGAUGCGAGUGCUGUGGCGCAAGCUCGAGCUGUUCUUUCUUUUUCCGUGGCUGCAUGCAACAGAUAGGCUUGGCGCUUUUCUUUCUGUCCUCUUUCAGAUGCCCUUCACUCUCCAUUCUCUUGGCGAGUGCGCACGCGCGCGUUCGCGGCUCGCCUUCUUUUUCUUGUUGCACCUAUGCUGACUCUUGCCUCUUGUAUUGAUCCUAUUCCCAGAGGGCGCUGCCGCACAUCGUUCCCUCCUCCUCUUUGCUCCCCCGUGUCCGUGUCUAUCCAGCACCGUCCCUUUUCAUUGCUUUCCGGUCCAGCCCUUUUCGUGCGGCAUCUAGCGCUUUUCCCCUCCGUCUCUUUGCCGUACCUGUCGCCCUCGUUAUGGGCCUGCGCGUGCGCCAUGGAUGGCGAACAGGGAGGGGGAGGGGGAGGGCACGAGAAUCAAGGGAAGGACGAAAGAAGCAGAAAACAGUAAAGGACACCAUACGUGGACUCUACGACAGACUGCAUUGCGCGUGCCAUACGAAGUAAGAGAGUCGAGCAAACACAAACGUGAAGAAAACGGUAACGAGAUAAAAAGAAAACAGUUAUGUGCCAUUAUGCAUAGCAUCUAUCUAUCUAUGCGUACUCAGACAAAGGCAAACAGCCAACAACAGCAACAAAAAAGGAAAAGAAGAACACCGAUCAUGAAUGCGACAGAGCGAACCGUCUCAUGUGGAGGUGACGUCUCUCCCUCAUGCUCUCUUCCCCCUUUUCUCCUCUCUCUCUCUUAGCGAGAAGCCUCUGGGGAGGGGGUGGUGCUGCCAGAGGGUGUUGUCUGUGUCUUUGUGCGAGUGCUUUACAGUCGCAAAACAUGUGAGCGUCAGCCAUGUCUCGCGUUGGUGGCUGCUUAGGCACACACACACACACACACACACACGCACACAGCUACAGGUCAACGAUUCGCCCGCAAAGGACGGUACGAAUGGUGCCCCGAUCGCUGCCUUCCUCUCGCUACCGCGCAGGUCAGGCAAAGCAAACGAAAGGGAAGGCAAACACGAGCGUCAUCGUCUCUCGGCGCUACGCACGUGCGUCUCCCUUACACUUCCGCGCUCACUCUCCCUCUCCGUCUGGGAAAUCCGCAUUGCCUCGUCUCCGCCUAUUGCUUUCUGCGUUCCACCACCAUCAUCGCACCCGACAUCAAACCUACACGUGCGCUCACAUCACCAUAAUCACACGCGUAACCACGACUCGCGAGGGAACGAGCUGCCCAACACCACCAUGAAG
Molecule: unclassified non-coding RNA, 12507 nt
Filed under: Leishmania donovani
Lineage: Eukaryota; Euglenozoa; Kinetoplastea; Trypanosomatida; Trypanosomatidae
Description: gene:LdHU3.29.1670(CDS-product:PSP1_C-inal_conser ved_region_containing_protein_putative)
Source: RNAcentral